This 303-nucleotide ribosomal RNA is filed under the name uncultured Cenococcum. RNAcentral describes it as "eukaryotic LSU rRNA". It matches the Rfam family "Eukaryotic large subunit ribosomal RNA", at positions 1 to 298 of the family's 3401-position model. The record is from RNAcentral. Lineage: Eukaryota; Fungi; Ascomycota; Dothideomycetes; Gloniales; Gloniaceae.
UUGACCUCGGAUCAGGCAGGGAUACCCGCUGAACUUAAGCAUAUCAAUAAGCGGAGGAAAAGAAACCAACAGGAAUUGCCUCAGUAACGGCGAGUGAAGCGGCAACAGCUCAAAUUUGAAAUCUGGCUCUUUUAGGNUCCGAGUNGUAAUUUGUAGAGGAUGCUUCGGCGUCGGCUCCGGUCUAAGUUCCUUGGAACAGGACGUCAUAGAGCGUGAGAAUCCCGUAUGUGAUCGGUGGCCCUUGCCAUGUGCAAGCUCCUUUCCACGAGUCGAGUGGUUUGGGAAUGCAGCUCUAAAUGGGGA